CAGCAGCCGCGGUAAUACGUAGGGUGCGAGCGUUAAUCGGAAUUACUGGGCGUAAAGCGUGCGCAGGCGGUUUUGUAAGACAGGCGUGAAAUCCCCGGGCUCAACCUGGGAAUGGCGCUUGUGACUGCAAAGCUAGAGUGCGGCAGAGGGGGAUGGAAUUCCGCGUGUAGCAGUGAAAUGCGUAGAUAUGCGGAGGAACACCGAUGGCGAAGGCAAUCCCCUGGGCCUGCACUGACGCUCAUGCACGAAAGCGUGGGGAGCAAACAGGAUUAGAUACCCCCGUAGUCCCUGUCUCUUAUAA
Molecule: ribosomal RNA, 301 nt
Filed under: uncultured bacterium
Lineage: Bacteria
Description: partial 16S ribosomal RNA
Rfam family: Bacterial small subunit ribosomal RNA
Source: RNAcentral